AAAAAUUAACUGAGUCAACUCUUAAUUAAUUAAGAGUUAACUUAGUUGAUUUUUUCUCUAUCAAGCGAGUUUGGAAUCAGUAAAUGUGUUUCGUCGCACAGAAUUCAAUGGCCUUUCUCUUCAUCUUCUACGUUCCUUUUCAAAAAAAAUCUAAAGUCAAAAAGCAAAGGCUGGCACAUUAAAUCAGAUUCUCAUAUUACAAACCCUCACACCAAGUUCAUUUUUGUUAUAUAUUCAUCAUGUUAUCAAUUUUGUUUUUUUUCUAAUUUUGUUGUGUUCCUGUGAAUUUGAAAAAUACAAAUUAACAAACGUGUCUUCAUCCCUUCUUUAAUAGAAAGAGACAAUAAAUCUUCUACCGAAUUCAUCUUUGUCGUAAGUCUUAUGCAGCUUUUGUGUCUUUUCAUCUUCUUCUUUUUUCUUCAUUAGCAUAAUGGGUCUGUAUAUCUAUGAAUUAUGCUUCAAGGGUUUGUUCAAAAACGUUUUGGAUCUCUGGUUUGGGAGGGUUUCUUCAUGAAUUUCUACAAAAAUGAAUUAGGUAUGUUAUUUGGGGUUUCUUCAUUAGCAUAAUGGGUAUGUAUAUCUGUAUUAUUUUGGAGCAAUGUCAAGCAUAGAUGGAAAUUGGUUGUCCUGCCUAUCAUCUGUUCGAUGAAAUUUUUAAGUGAAGGUUUAGAAAGUUACUGGAAUUGAGUUAACCAUCUAUUUAGUCUUUAAUUUUUAAUGUAUGGGUGUUAUUUUUAAAAAAAGUAGUACUAUAUAUAUAUGUAUUUGGAUUUGUAUUUGUACUUUUUUGUGGUUAGAUCUGAUGGGAGGAUGAAUAAUGGGUUGGGUAGCAGUGCUGACAAGUUAAUUACUAAUGUUGUUGCAGUUAACCAUCUCUCCCUCUUUCUCUGACUAUAUAUUUCAGACUUUCUGUAUUUGUAUAUUUUUGUUAUGUGAAGUUUUAUUUUUUGUUUGUAAUUUGCAGACAAAGAUCGAUACUUCAGCAGCAUCUACAACAUCUAAACCUUGGUAAGCUUCCUUUUCUACAUAUGCAAUUAUAAGUAAUGUGUUUCUCGCUUUCUAGCUCAACAAGUUUGUAUCUUCUCAAGAAUUUUAUUUUUAUUAUUAUUAUUUUAUUUUUUAUUCUUUACAAGAGGUAAUGCAAUUUUCAUAGUGAUAGCUUGAAAGAAAGCUGAAUUUAUUUAUUAUACAUUUCGGUAUAAAUAUUUUUUGUGUGAAUUAUUAUUUAGUAUGUGUUAAGCUGCCAAGACAUAAAAGAUCCAAGAUGUUUUCACUGUUUGAGGAAAUGAUGACAAAGGGUAUUGAACCUCAUGGAAUUGUUUAUAGUUUGGUUAAUGCUUAGUGCAAGGAAGGAAAUUCGGACCCAAUUUGUUAUUCUUCUCCCAAUUUCAACUUUAGAGAAACCAAACAAAAGGAUCAGACGUUUUGCUUCCAAGUCAUUUGUGCAUUAAUCGAUUCCAAGUAAUUUUUUAUCUUUAUAUUUAGGCUGUUUUUGUAAUGGGUGUAGAUAUUUUCACGCAAUUGAGCAUUGCAUAUGAGUAAUUAGCUUUAUUGUUUAGAAUUAAGAAUUAAGAAAGUCAAAUUUCAAAUUUGUGGAAAAUUUACAAUGUUAUGGAUUAAACAGAUUAUAUAAGACUGCUUGGGAUGCCUAAUAGAUUAGUUAAGGGAAUGUGAUCAGGGUCUGUUCAUUAAUAAUGUUAUUAAUUGGGCUAAGACUGAGGAUUCCAAUUGACCUUGAGUUGGCUGUUUAGAAUAGUGCACAUUACAUGUUUAGUGAAAUGCCAAAAAAAGGAUAUAUGUUGUCUCCUCGCGAUCGCCUCUACUAAAGUAAUCUUCGAUGAACAUUUUGAAGGUAUAUUUAUGUGUGUAUGUACUAAUCUCUUUCUAUCUGUAAAGGAUUGUGAUCGCAUUUUCGAUGUAGUUUGAGUUUACUUUUGUUGCAUUUUCGAAUCAAUGUGCUGAUCUUGAACUGAUUUGUUAAAUAUAAGAGCUUAAUUUUGUGUCUAUGUGUCGAUCUGAUUGCUAUGAGUAAUAUGGAUGAUCUGUAGCAUAUCUGUGAACUAAGUCCUAUUGCGCAGUUGAAAUUUUGGAAUUUACUCUUUUGCAUGCUUCUGUUUCUUAGUCAGACUCUGGAAAUUGAUAGCAUUGAUAUUGAUUAUAGUCAGACCCGUGGAAUAUUUGCUCCGUAGAUCAAGUAGAAGAACUAAAAGUAUUAAUCCGAGUUAUCCCAUUAUGAUCAACAGGGAUCACAAUGUCAAUAACCAUGAAUCAGAGUUCAUUUCCAUUGCUCCAAACCAAGUCCGUGGAUAGGCACCGCACUUCAAACUUUAUAUUACUAUGUGCAAAUCACAAUUCAUAGUUUUCCAUUUAGCUAAUUUCUUUCUUCUUUUAUACCUUUUCUUUUCUGCUAGCCCCAGGAUUUAUUUAACUGUUACGUUGGGUGAUGUAUGUUUUAUUGUUUUAAGAGAAUUUUGAUGUGAAAUCGUAUUGGGUAUUUGAAAUUUCAUGUGUUAGGUAUGAAUUAGUUAUAAAAAUCUUCAAUAAUGGUAGUUUAUGCUCUGUGCACAUGCAAAAUUUUAAACAAUUGGAGGUGUGAUAGUUAAUUUACUAACUAACUUGAGGGGAUGAACUCAUUACUUAAUAUAAAAUUGUGGGCUAUAAGUUGGUACAUGGAUUGUAUAUUUUCAGUCUUUUUUUGAUAUGAAUAUUUGACAUUAUUAAAUUUAUUAUUCAAUAUAUUUACAAAUGUAAGUGAUAUUUUAUGCAAAAAUGUAUUGAAAAAUCUAUAUGAAAAUUAC
RNAcentral lists this long non-coding RNA (2798 nucleotides) under Panax ginseng (ginseng). RNAcentral describes it as "long non-coding RNA (PGIN_LNC007676)". Lineage: Eukaryota; Viridiplantae; Streptophyta; Magnoliopsida; Apiales; Araliaceae. The record is from RNAcentral.